UACGUAGGGUGCAGGCGUUAAUCGGAAUUACUGGGCGUAAAGCGUGCGCAGGCGGUUUGCUAAGACAGGUGUGAAAUCCCCGGGCUUAACCUGGGAACUGCGCUUGUAACUGGCAAGCUGGAGUGUGGCAGAGGGGGGUGGAAUUCCGCGUGUAGCAGUGAAAUGCGUAGAGAUGUGGAGGGACACCGAUGGCGAAGGCAGCCCCCUGGGCUAACACUGACGCUCAUGCACGAAAGCGUGGGGAGCAAACAGG
This 253-nucleotide ribosomal RNA is filed under the name uncultured bacterium. Its description in RNAcentral is "partial 16S ribosomal RNA". It matches the Rfam family "Bacterial small subunit ribosomal RNA", at positions 524 to 776 of the family's 1533-position model. The record is from RNAcentral.